GACGAACGCUGGCGGCGUGCUUAACACAUGCAAGUCGAACGGAAAGGCCUGCUUUCCCUUGUGGUUUGCGGGUACUCGAGUGGCGAACGGGUGAGUAACACGUGAGUGAUCUGCCCCCAACUUGGGUAUAAGCCUGGGAAACUGGGUCUAAUUCCCGAUAGGACUGCAGGGUGGUGCCUGUGUUGGAAAACGAUUUUCUAGUGGUUGGGGAUGAGCUCGCGGCCUAUCAGCUUGUUGGUGGGGUAAUGGCCUACCAAGGCGGCGACGGGUAGCCGGCCUGAGAGGGUGGACGGCGACAUUGGGACUGGGAUACGGCCCAGACGGCUACGGGAGGCAGCAGUGGGGAAUAUUGCACAAUGGGCGGGAGCCUGAUGCAGCGACGCCGCGUGGGGGAUGACGGCCUUCGGGUUGUAAACUCCUUUCGACCGCGAGGAAGCCACCUGGUUGGAAGGGUGGUGACGGUAGUGGUAGAAGAAGCACCGGCUAACUACGUG
RNAcentral lists this ribosomal RNA (494 nucleotides) under uncultured bacterium. RNAcentral's name for it is "partial 16S ribosomal RNA". It matches the Rfam family "Bacterial small subunit ribosomal RNA", at positions 28 to 507 of the family's 1533-position model. The record is from RNAcentral.